CGGAGGAUGUACGGUGAAGAGAUUUCGGUCAAAUCAUGUGCAUCUUUAGUGGCGGACGGGUGAGUAACGCGUGGGUAACCUGCCUUACACAGGGGGAUAACACUUAGAAAUAGGUGCUAAUACCGCAUGAGCGCACAGGACCGCAUGGUCGAGUGUGAAAAACUGAGGUGGUGUAAGAUGGACCCGCGUCUGAUUAGCUGGUUGGUGAGGUAACGGCCCACCAAGGCGACGAUCAGUAGCCGGCCUGAGAGGGUGGACGGCCACAUUGGGACUGAGACACGGCCCAAACUCCUACGGGAGGCAGCAGUGGGGGAUAUUGGACAAUGGGGGGAACCCUGAUCCAGCGACGCCGCGUGAGUGAAGAAGUAUCUCGGUAUGUAAAGCUCUAUCAGCAGGGAAGAAGAAAUGACGGUACCUGAGUAAGAAGCCCCGGCUAACUACGUGCCAGCAGCCGCGGUAAUACGUAGGGGGCAAGCGUUAUCCGGAAUUACUGGGUGUAAAGGGAGCGUAGACGGUGAUGUAAGUCUGGAGUGAAAGGCGGGGGCCCAACCCCCGGACUGCUCUGGAAACUAUGUGACUGGAGUGCAGGAGAGGUGAGCGGAAUUCCUAGUGCAGCGGUGAAAUGCGUAGAUUUUUGGGAGAACACCAGUGGCGAAGGCGGCUCACUGGACUGUAACUGACGUUGAGGCUCGAAA
RNAcentral lists this ribosomal RNA (695 nucleotides) under uncultured bacterium. RNAcentral's name for it is "bacterial SSU rRNA". It matches the Rfam family "Bacterial small subunit ribosomal RNA", at positions 56 to 758 of the family's 1533-position model. The record is from RNAcentral.